This 175-nucleotide ribosomal RNA is filed under the name uncultured soil bacterium. RNAcentral describes it as "partial 16S ribosomal RNA". It matches the Rfam family "Bacterial small subunit ribosomal RNA", at positions 26 to 210 of the family's 1533-position model. The record is from RNAcentral.
AGAUUGAACGCUGGCGGCACGCUUAACACAUGCAAGUCGAGCGGUUUGAUAUCUAGCUUGCUAGAUAUCGGAUAGCGGCGGACGGGUGAGUAACGCGUAGGAAUCUGCCUUAGAGCGGGGGAUAACACGGGGAAACUCGUGCUAAUACCGCAUAAUACCUGAGGGUUAAAGAGGG